GAAAUGUGGCUCAGUGGUAGAGCACUUGCCUGACAUGCAUGAGACAUUGGGUUCAAUCCCUAGCAACA
Molecule: transfer RNA, 68 nt
Filed under: Marmota monax (woodchuck)
Lineage: Eukaryota; Metazoa; Chordata; Mammalia; Rodentia; Sciuridae
Description: tRNA.Val
Rfam family: tRNA (bases 5-65)
About the family: Transfer RNA (tRNA) molecules are approximately 80 nucleotides in length. Their secondary structure includes four short double-helical elements and three loops (D, anti-codon, and T loops). Further hydrogen bonds mediate the characteristic L-shaped molecular structure. tRNAs have two regions of fundamental functional importance: the anti-codon, which is responsible for specific mRNA codon recognition, and the 3' end, to which the tRNAs corresponding amino acid is attached (by aminoacyl-tRNA synthetases). tRNAs cope with the degeneracy of the genetic code in two manners: having more than one tRNA (with a specific anti-codon) for a particular amino acid; and 'wobble' base-pairing, i.e. permitting non-standard base-pairing at the 3rd anti-codon position.
Source: RNAcentral